GACGAACGCUGGCGGCGUGCCUAAUACAUGCAAGUAGAACGCUGAAGGAGGAGCUUGCUUCUCUGGAUGAGUUGCGAACGGGUGAGUAACGCGUAUGUAACCUGCCUGGUAGCGGGGGAUAACUAUUGGAAACGAUAGCUAAUACCGCAUAAGAGUAGAUGUUGCAUGACAUUUGCUUAAAAGGUGCAAUUGCAUCACUACCAGAUGGACCUGCGUUGUAUUAGCUAGUUGGUGGGGUAACGGCUCACCAAGGCGACGAUACAUAGCCGACCUGAGAGGGUGAUCGGCCACACUGGGACUGAGACACGGCCCAGACUCCUACGGGAGGCAGCAGUAGGGAAUCUUCGGCAAUGGACGGAAGUCUGACCGAGCAACGCCGCGUGAGUGAAGAAGGUUUUCGGAUCGUAAAGCUCUGUUGUAAGAGAAGAACGAGUGUGAGAGUGGAAAGUUCACACUGUGACGGUAUCUUACCAGAAAGGGACGGCUAACUACGU
RNAcentral lists this ribosomal RNA (494 nucleotides) under uncultured bacterium. Its description in RNAcentral is "partial 16S ribosomal RNA". It matches the Rfam family "Bacterial small subunit ribosomal RNA", at positions 28 to 506 of the family's 1533-position model. The record is from RNAcentral.